CCUUUCACUUUCAAUCUAUAUGUAUCUUUUGUCCUAAGGUGACUUUCUUGUAAGCGUGCCUACUCUUUAGAGAAGAGAGAAGAUCCCUACAAUUGUAGCAAUGGUCUAGAGCUUCUAGGACUAUGAUGACGGGCAUAACCACGAAUAGGUGUAACCUCAUGUAAUCCUUGUAACUCAUAGGGCAAGUACUAUGAUUAGCCUCAUUUCCAGUUGAAAAACUGAAGCACAGAGAGGCCAUGCAAAUUUCCCAAGGCUACUCAACUUGGAGGUGGUAUAGGCACAAUUCAGCCCCAGGCAGCCUGACUCCAAGACGCCUUGAUCUUAACCCCUGACUCUUGGUUUUUAAACUCCGUUGCACAUUGGAAUCAUUUAAGGAUUUUUUAAAAAAGUCAAAACCACAGGUUACAUCCCAGACUGACUGGAUUACAGACUCUGGGGUGGGAUUUUAUUGAGAGUAUUUUUAUUUAUUUAUUUUUAUCUUUUUUGCCUUUUCUAGGGCCACUCCCACAGCAUAUGGAGGUUCCCAGGCUAGGGGUCUAAUCAGAGCUGUAGCCGCUGGACUACGCUAGAGCCAUGGCAACGUGGGAUCUGAGUCGUGUCUGCAACCUACACCACAGCUCACGGCAACGCCGGAUCCUCAACCCACUGAACAAGGCCAGGGAUUGAACCCCUGCAACCUCAUCGUUCCUAGUUGGAUUCGUUAACCACUGAGCCACGACGGGAACUCAAUUUGAAAUAUGGCCUGCCAACACCUUAAUUCAGACUUCUAGCCUCCAAAACUGUGAGACAAUACAUUUCUGUUGUUUUAAGCCUCCUACUUUGUGGGUCAGCCCCAGCAAUCUAAUACAGCUCCUCUGUGAUUUCAAUGUGCAGACACAUUUGAGAACCUCUGCUGUACAUUCAUUCUCUCUUUCUUUAAGAAUCUGCUGUGGAAAUGUGGGGAAAGAAACCCCUAUGAGAUAACCCAGUCUUGAUUGGGGCUGGUGUAAGUUUGCCAUCCUGUGCUAUCCCUGGUUGUGCCACCUUCUAAAGCAUGGGGCAGUGUCCAUCAGGUACAUAAGAUGUAGAGGGUCAUUCUCAGUGCUCUUGUUCGUGGAAGAAGCAGUAGUGGUGGGUGUGCUCCCGGGCGUAAAGCAAGAGGGUCCCCAGGCAAGAGCAUGGAGGAUGCAAAGGAGCAGAAUGAGUGCUUCCCCUAAAGCCUAUGAAACCAUCACAGGUGGAGAAAGAGUGAUCAAUGUGGCUACUGCAAUCCAGAGACACCUCCCCAGGUGAUGUAGAGCCCUCUGAGGGUGCCCAGGAGUCUUGGAAGAAGACCAUGUUCUCUGGAAUGUCCCUCAGAGAUGGUAGUGUUUAAACCUGAGAAAUGGGUUUUGACAGGUGGCUGUGGGUAAAGGCUGUUCCAGGCACAGGGCACACCUUAAAGGUGGGGAGGGAGGAACAGGCAGAAUGGCGGGGGCUGGUGAGUUGUGGGUGGACUUCAUGCUUAGGGCAAGCUGGAGAAGAGAGCUUGGGUAAAAGGACAGAAGUCCAGGAAGAUAGGUUACGGCAGUUUUCUGGAGGGAUUUGAAUACUGCACUAAGUCCCCCAGGCUUCAUCUUGUAAGCAGUGUGGAGCCAACAGAGGCUUUUGAUCAGGGAAGAAACACCAUCGUUAACUUAAAUGAUCCCGGAUGUAACAUUUCAGAGGGUUCUUCCUUGGUAACCAAAGCUGAGGUGUCUCAUUUAAUUUUCCCGGUGACCUUGUAAGCGAGGAAUUAUUAUCCUGGUUUAAUAGAUUUAGAAAUUGAAACUAAUAGAAUUUGAGUUACUGCCCAAGUCACAUAGCUGGUCAAUGUAGGAACCUGGAUUUGAACCCCAGCUAUCUGAUUCCAUCGUCUGUGGGCUUAACUGAUCUAUAACUCAGGAUUCCCAGCCUUGAUGUUGAAGAAAACUAGCCUCAUUGGUGGGAUGAGGCAGGUGGACAGUGGAGGGCAGGUGGGGAGAGAAGGAGGACAGAAAGGCCAGUUGGGAAGUGUCUACAGAAUCCUGUGCAAUAUCUCAAAGGAAGACCGAAAAUGAUGAAGUAACUGGUUGGGUUUUGGGGGAGGUAUCACCCCACUUCAGGAUAAUUGAGUGGUGGGCAGAAAGGCGCUGCCUUUACUGAGCUAAAAGAAGUAGGAAGAAGAGUGGGUCAGACAAUAGAAGAGAUUUGAUUUCUUUCCUUUUUUUUUUUUUUUUCUUUCUAGGGCCUCACCCGUGGCAUAUGGACGUUCCCAGGCUAGGGGUCGAAUCGGAGCUACAGCUGCCGGCCUACCCCACAGCCACAGCAAUGAGGGAUCCGAGCCGGUCUGCGACCUACACCACAGCUCAUAGCAACGCAGGAUCCUUUACCCACUGAGCAAGGCCAGGGAUCAAAUCUGCAUCCUCAUGGGUACUAGUCGGGUUUGUUACCUCUGAGCCACAACGGCAACUCCAGAGAUGAGAUUUCUUUAGACAUUUUAAACUGAAGUACUGAUCUAUGUCAGAGAUAGGAUGUCCGUGGAAACAUGAUUUAGAGGUGGUUACCCUGCAGGAGACAGAUCAGUGCACCUCAUCCUCAGAGCUUGGAGACCGAGCACUGCCGAGAAUGUGUAAGUGUGGCGCUUAAGCCCAUGGGCUCUGGGGCUCAACAGUCUGAAAUCAACCCUUUAUUAGCUGUGUGUUCUUGGACUAGCCUCAGUUUCUUCAUCUGCAAAAGGAGGACAAUAAAGGACCUAUUUCACGGUCCUUUUCAGAUAAGAUAGGUGGAGCUCUUGGCAGCAAGCCAAAAGCUUAAGAAACAGGCAUGGCAGUACAGUUGCCUUUGCUCCUUGUCACCCAGAAAACCUGCCUGUGACAGCAUCUCCCUCUUCAUCUCCUUUCCCCUCCUGAGAAUUUUCUCUGUCCACAUCAGACCUUUGUUCUACUUGUUCAACCUUCAACUUGGCAGCUGCCUUUUUCUUAAAGAUCAAUCUCUCCCCUAGUCCAGGAAUGUUUCGCAGUUUUCCUUUUUUUCUUUCUCCUGGACACAGUGUAGAUGUGAUUCUCUGGUGUAGCCACCUUACUUCACAGCGCUCUGUGCCUCAAACCAAGGAGGAGACCAGCCAGCCCACCCUGCUCAGUCCCACCGGUUUUCUUUGACAGUACAGCUGGUCUAUGGGCUGUGUGGUUAUCUCUGAGCAUCUUCAGGCACUGAUUCGGGGAUUUUCUUUUAUGCUGUGUGCACAGUGCCUGGUACAUGACAGGGGCUCAAUGGGUAAAUCCCAGGAGAGCAGCUCUUCUUAGGCAGGGGUGAGCUGAAUCAAACAACAAUAACAAAAGCCUAAGAUUGGGUUCCUGGUUCUCUUCCUGGAAAGAGGUGUCUGUAAGAAAGGAGAGAAGUGUGAAGGAAAGUGACUCAUUGCUACCAUUUCAACUUCCUGGUGCUCAGAAAGGGAACUGUAUGUUUGGAGAAAAUAAAGGAUAUGUUGUGUGGGUGAAGGUCAUCUGUUGCUGGUGAUUUGGGGGAGACUGAAGCUAGAAACCAGUUUGAAAGAAUGAUUUUUGUGGAUCAGUACAGUAGCCUCAAAACUGAUGUCCUUCCGUGGUUGCUUCCUUCCCAUCCAUCCUAAAUACUGCCUUGAUUUCUCUUCCUUAAAACAAACAAACAAAAAUACUCAGAGUCCCUGCUGUGGCACAGUGGGUUAAGAAUCUGACUGUAGCAGCUCAGGUCAGUGUGGAGAUGUAGGUUCAAUCUCAAGCCUGGUGUAGUGGGUUAAAGGAUCCAGUGCUGCCAUUGCUGUGGCUGGGAUUUAAUCCCUAGCCUGGGAACUUCCAUAUGCCAUGGGUAAGGCCAUAAAAACCACCCCAACACCCCACUUUUACCAAGUCACCCUCCAGCUGGAAAUAUUUUGAUGACUUCUCUUUUCCUUAAGAAGUGAGAGUCUCAAAGCUUUACGGGAACAUCAAAUCCUCUCCACUCGGCCUAAUCCUAACCUCUCCAACCUGCCAUUUCUCACACCUCUUCCUUCUCAGUGAGCCAGAGCUGUGUUGCUGCCCCUCAUCUCCACCUCUUUUGUCCUUUGGCUUCACACAGCUGUCCUCCAGAGUCAGAGUCCAUUUGCUGAGCAAUCCAUGAUCCUUAAUUCUCCACGUGGCCCCCCUGGAACAGCACUACCUGCCUGCCCUCCCAGUCCCUUACUUUUCAAGGACCCACAGCUUACCUGCCUCUACCUGCAUACUCAAGUUAAAACUUAGAUUAUUUACAGGAGAUCAAUAAGCAAGUUGGUUAAACUCAUGUAAUUGAAAGGACAGUGUAUUCUGCAACAUUAAACUUGUAAAGUUCCCAGAGCCAGGACUGAAGCCUUUGAGUUUUAUCUUUAAAUAGCAUCUCGCUCAAAACAAAAUAGCCUCCUGGAGAACUCCAGCCUUCUCAGAGCCUUACCUGGCAAGGUAAAUGCUUUAGAGAGGAGAAGGUGUCACAAAUGUCCAAAUGACCCUAAAGUAUGAGUAGGCUUCCUUAACCAUUUGGCCUGCUAACGGGGAGGGGCUUAGGAGCAUCUGGUCCAAUAAUUAUCUGUGGUCUAACUGACUGCCUAUCUGAGUUACUCUAUCCACCACCCAAUGGGAAUUUACCAGCUUUCCCUGAUCCUGAUUGAGUUGACUCAUAUAAACUAUAGUGAAUUUCUUAGGCUCAAUGCUCCAUGGAAUUAAUCAAACUUUGGGUUUGUCUUCCGUAAUCAGUUCGAUAGUUGCUUUCUGCUCAAGGAUGGCUCCUUGCCUUCAUUAAAUCUGAAGGUUUCAGCUUUUGUUAGUGCACAGCACCUCAAUCAAUACAAGCAAGUGCAGCUGUCUCCUAAAUGAGGAUGUCAGGCCAAGGCCCUGAUAACCAAUGGCUACUAAAUACUUAAUGAUCCUUGUGGUGUGUCGCAGCGUCUUCAUCACAUUUCAGUCUAGGGCCUUGAACUUACUUUGAAAAAUAGUCUUUUCUAAAACUUACUCCAUUACUUUCCAUCCUUUAUUUUCCUUAUUUCAUGUGUUAUAGCACAUCAGCAGGGUGCUUCAGAAAACACAAAGUGGGAUCCAGAGGUUGGCAGAGCUGAGAACCAUCAGCUCCCUUUGGCAUUUUCUGUCCCAAGGUUGCAUUUCCUUAGUGUGGUGGUUAUUAGUGCUGUUUACCAAAUUUUCUAGUUUUUCCCCAUUCCAGGUUCAUGUGACGGUGAUAUUUCCUGAGUCACUUGAGGUUGAUGAGGGUCAUGUGACUAGUUCUGGCCAAUGAGUUGAAAGCAAAAGUAGGAGUUCCUGUUGUGGCGCAGUGGUUAACAAAUCUGACUAGGAACCAUGAGGUUGCGGGUUCGAUUCCUGCCCUUGCUUAGUCGGUAAAGGAUCCGGCGUUGCUGUGAGCUGUAGUGUGGGUCGCAGACGCGGCUCGGAUCCCAAGUUGCUGUGGCUCUGGUGUAGGCCGGCAGCUACAGCUUCGAUUCGACCCCUAGUCUGGGAACCUCCAUAUGCCAUGGGAGCGGC
RNAcentral lists this long non-coding RNA (5498 nucleotides) under Sus scrofa (pig). RNAcentral describes it as "lncRNA (ENSSSCG00000055474.1)". Lineage: Eukaryota; Metazoa; Chordata; Mammalia; Artiodactyla; Suidae. The record is from RNAcentral.